Sphaerodactylus townsendi is the source of this 2099-nucleotide RNA transcript. It is a transcript of the gene named heterogeneous nuclear ribonucleoprotein A2/B1, with no coding region annotated. The transcript is spliced from 12 exons. Lineage: Eukaryota; Metazoa; Chordata; Lepidosauria; Squamata; Sphaerodactylidae. The record is from RefSeq and is a predicted model, not a curated record.
GCUUCACCCGCGUCCAGAGCCGGGCAGCUGCCGGAACGACCGAGGCCACCCAGAACCCACUCGCUUUCCUUCUCCGUUUCUUCAGCGAAUCGAGAUGCCUCGUGGAGACCGGGAGAGCGACUGGGUGAGUGAGAGGGAGAAGGAGCAGUUCCGCAAACUAUUCAUUGGUGGUUUGAGCUUUGAAACAACAGAAGAAAGCUUGAGAAACUACUACGAGCAAUGGGGAAAGCUAACAGAUUGUGUGGUAAUGAGAGAUCCUGCAAGCAAACGCUCACGAGGAUUUGGCUUUGUAACAUUCUCAUCUAUGGCUGAAGUUGAUGCAGCAAUGGCUGCCAGGCCUCAUUCAAUUGAUGGUAGGGUGGUUGAACCCAAGAGAGCGGUAGCCAGGGAGGAAUCUGGAAAGCCUGGGGCUCAUGUUACUGUGAAAAAAUUAUUUGUUGGUGGAAUCAAAGAAGAUACUGAGGAACAUCACCUUAGAGACUACUUUUCAGAAUAUGGAAAAAUUGACACAAUUGAAAUAAUUACAGAUAGGCAAUCUGGUAAAAAGAGGGGGUUUGGAUUUGUUACCUUUGAUGACCAUGAUCCUGUGGAUAAAAUUGUGUUGCAGAAAUACCACACUAUCAAUGGUCAUAAUGCAGAAGUAAGAAAAGCUUUAUCUAGACAAGAAAUGCAAGAGGUUCAGAGCUCAAGGAGUGGAAGAGGAGGUAAUUUUGGCUUUGGAGAUUCACGUGGAGGUGGUGGAAACUUUGGUCCAGGACCAGGAAGCAAUUUCAGAGGUGGAUCUGAUGGCUAUGGAGGUGGUCGUGGAUUUGGUGAUGGAUACAAUGGAUAUGGUGGAGGACCAGGAGGUGGCAAUUUUGGUGGUAGUCCUGGUUAUGGAGGAGGAAGAGGAGGAUAUGGUGGUGGAGGACCUGGAUAUGGCAAUCAGGGUGGGGGCUACGGAGGUGGUUAUGACAACUAUGGAGGAGGCAAUUACGGAGGAGGAAAUUACAAUGAUUUUGGAAACUACAACCAACAGCCCUCAAACUAUGGUCCUAUGAAGAGUGGAAAUUUUGGUGGAAGCAGGAACAUGGGGGGACCAUAUGGUGGAGGAAAUUAUGGUCCUGGAGGAAGUGGAGGAAGUGGGGGAUAUGGAGGGAGGAGUCGCUAUUGAGCUUCUGUUAAGCUUUUAAUGGCAUUAUACACCAUGGACAAGCAAUAGACCUGCUGAGCAAUGAACCGGCCAAGUGUCCGUUAAUGCUUUGCAAGGGUUCCAUCCCUUCUCUGGUUAGUUAAAAUGGCACUCUACCAUCAAGUCAGCCGUUGAGAAUGGUCCAAGCAGUGGAAGGAAGAUGGAAUUGUACAUGGUUGCAGUGCUAGUAGCUAGAUAUCAAAUCUGAUAUUUCAAAGUGUGCACGCUGAAUCUUAUGUUUAUACAAUAAUGUGGGAGGGGUUUAACACAUGAAUGCAGAAUUACUUUAGUAUUUGUGAUGAUAAACCUGUAGAUCAAAUCCUGUAUUCCAAAUAUCAACAGUACAAUCCUAACAAGUUAUACCGCACAUCAGUGGGGUUUAGACGGUGUAAUUCUGUUUACAAUUGUACUGCUAGUGCAGGGCUACCUGCAUUUCAGUGCACCUGACUGUAAUGUUUGAAAAAUCAGGAUGUGAAAUGUUUAGUUUGAAAAUGGCAUUAAUGAAGAUAAAUGGAAAAACUUGCCUGUUGUGGCUAAGCAAGGUUGUGCUAUGCUGUUGCUUGGCUUUUCUUUCAAGGUGCAUUGUGCAUUCUACAUAUUUGGCCAGUACUUUUUAUUCUUCACUAUUUUUCUUUUGUUCCUUUGGGCUCUAAUUGGACUAUUUUUCAAGGCACAAGAACACUGCCAUUUCUACAGCAGUGAAGAAUGUAUUGGCUUGGGCCAACAGGUUAAUUGUCCGAUAAUAUUCCAAUGACUUGCAUUUUCUUUUGAUAAGGCUAAUUGAUGUGUAUGCCUUCUUCAGACUUUGCCCUGAAGGUGAUUCCAGGGUUAUAAUUUCAUUUUUAUUAUAUAGUUAUGGCAAUUUUGAGCAGUAACCUCCCCCUCUGUGCCUUAUGUCACAAAUAAACAAUACCUAAUUAUAUGUCAA